GGCACAGUGGCGCAGUGGUUAGCAUUGCCGCCUCACAGCAAGAAGGUUGUGGGUCCGAAUCCGGUCUGUGUGG
Molecule: non-coding RNA, 73 nt
Organism: Gymnothorax javanicus (giant moray)
Lineage: Eukaryota; Metazoa; Chordata; Actinopteri; Anguilliformes; Muraenidae
Source: the annotation of a GenBank genome assembly